This 253-nucleotide ribosomal RNA is filed under the name uncultured bacterium. RNAcentral's name for it is "partial 16S ribosomal RNA". It matches the Rfam family "Bacterial small subunit ribosomal RNA", at positions 524 to 776 of the family's 1533-position model. The record is from RNAcentral.
UACGAAGGGAGCUAGCGUUGUUCGGAAUCACUGGGCGUAAAGCGCACGUAGGCGGAUUUGUCAGUCAGGGGUGAAAUCCCGGGGCUCAACCUCGGAACUGCCUUUGAUACAGCAAGUCUUGAGUUCGAGAGAGGUGGGUGGAAUUCCUAGUGUAGAGGUGAAAUUCGUAGAUAUUCGCAAGAACACCAGUGGCGAAGGCGGCUCACUGGCCCGAUACUGACGCUGAGGUGCGAAAGCGUGGGGAGCAAACAGG